GUGCCAGCAGCCGCGGUAAUACGAGUGGUGCAAGCGUUAUUCGGAAUCAUUGGGCGUACAGGGUGUGUAGGCGGUAUGUUAAGUCUGCUGUUAAAUCCUCCGGCCUAACCGGAGAUAGGCGGCGGAAACUGGCGUACUAGAGGGUGGAAGAGAGAAGUGGAAUUCUCGGUGUAGCGGUAAAAUGCGUAGAUAUCGAGAGGAACACCGAUGGCGAAGGCAGCUUCUUGGUCCAUUCCUGACGCUGAAACACGAAAGCGUGGGGAGCAAACAGGAUUAGAAACCCUCGUAGUCC
This 292-nucleotide ribosomal RNA is filed under the name uncultured bacterium. RNAcentral describes it as "partial 16S ribosomal RNA". It matches the Rfam family "Bacterial small subunit ribosomal RNA", at positions 505 to 796 of the family's 1533-position model. The record is from RNAcentral.